Molecule: non-coding RNA, 1566 nt
Organism: Paramuricea clavata
Lineage: Eukaryota; Metazoa; Cnidaria; Anthozoa; Malacalcyonacea; Plexauridae
Source: the annotation of a GenBank genome assembly
ACUUGGCCAAUAAGGAGCUCCCUUUAGCCCGGAUGACGUCAAACUCACGCGUAUGGGUGCACUUUGACCUGUAGAACCAUUUCUGGCAUUUCCAGAGUCACGCGAUACAAGCGUAGCAUUGUUUUGACGAGUUUUCGUCGUAUUUCCGGUUGGGAUUAUCGCAAAUUCGGAGCAGAAAUGUAAAAUUCGGCACUAAAAGUCACCUUUUAGGGACGGACCAUUUGAUUUUUGAUGGGGGAGUGGGUAGAAUCCCCAAAAAAAUAUCGGGCAAGCAAUUCGAACUUAAAAAAAAUAUCGUGCAAGAAUAAACGGACGAAAAAAAAUAUCGAGCAAGACUUUCGGGUGGUAAUCCUUAUUUGCCAUUCGGUGCAUUUCCGCGUGUAGCCCAGGGCGCCGGGGGGCUGCAGCCUAAAUAAUGGGAGGACCAGUAUAAUUCCAAAAAUGGUUGUUCUUUAUUUCUUUACUCCGGCUCCUAUGAUGAACAUGUACAUAAAAAACUAGGAACACUACGAUUAAAUCACGGCCGUAGAAACUAAAAUAAGUGGAAAUUUUAUGGGACACGAUCAAAGGCGAGGAUACAAGAGCGAGAGAUUGAAAUUGAGUAGGAAUAGCGUACAGGGGUAUGCGUUUCGACCUAACAGUUUUCUUCAGCAGGGUUUUUUAAGAGGGGCAGGGGUAGAUAUAAUUUGAAGAGGAGAAGGAAGGAGAGUUUAUAGGAGUUCGGAAUAUAAUGUGAGACCAAGAGGAAAACAAAUUAUUACGAAAUAACUGAAAAUAACCAAUUACACAGUGAAAGGAUGUAACUACUAUACAUGUUAUUAGUCAAGUUAUCCUACCAAAGGUCUGGUUGUUUGCGGGACAUUCCAACACUACGCACUUUAUUGUUCAUCAUUUGUAUUGGUGAAGUGAAGCAAAUUUGCAGGUCCUUCAAUUAAGGGUUAACUUACUCAAUGGUAUAGUGAGUUUGAAUGAUUGUGAUGGUAAGGGUGAUCAUGUGACUGUAGGUGAUUGCAUCCAAAUAUGGUGCUAGUGGUGUAGGAGCUUAUAAGACAGGGAUAGGGGCGUUUGGCAAUUAGUGAUACAAUUAACUAUUAUAUACCAAAAAAUGUAAAAACAAAAAACUAAAAAAUGUAUAUACAUGCAUACAAAAAAUAUCGUGCAAGUCCUCUGACUGACAAAAAAAAUCGAACUGUGUCAGGAGGCGGAAAAAAAAUAUCGAGCAAACUGAAAAUCUACCCAUCAAAAAUCAAAUGGUCCGUCCCUUAAGGAUAGAAGCUUGGAAAUAACGUUAUACAUGGCAUUUUAAAUGAUUAAUUCAUCAAGAAUAUCACAAUGAGCAUACGUUUCAAGGCGGCCGAAGUUAUAUUCGGCGAAAGGUAUGUUUAUGUUUUUAUAAUUUGUUGGUAAAAUGCGUAAUUUGAUCGUAUUCGAUCUCGCUUUACUUUUAAAGCUCAUAAAUCGCUAUAAUGUUGCCAAUGACUAAAACUAUUGCUACGAGUGAGGAGAUCUAGUCACACUGAAUCGAAUGGUGGUAUUUUUGUCCUCAUAGCAUUCAAUGAACCGAAG